AGUGAACGCUGGCGGUAGGCCUAACACAUGCAAGUCGAACGGCAGCACAGUAAGAGCUUGCUCUUACGGGUGGCGAGUGGCGGACGGGUGAGGAAUACAUCGGAAUCUACUUUUUCGUGGGGGAUAACGUAGGGAAACAUACGCUAAUACCGCAUACGACCUACGGGUGAAAGCAGGGGAUCUUCGGACCUUGCGCGAUUGAAUGAGCCGAUGUCGGAUUAGCUAGUUGGCGGGGUAAAGGCCCACCAAGGCGACGAUCCGUAGCUGGUCUGAGAGGAUGAUCAGCCACACUGGAACUGAGACACGGUCCAGACUCCUACGGGAGGCAGCAGUGGGGAAUAUUGGGCAAUGGGCGCAAGCCUGAUCCAGCCAUACCGCGUGGGUGAAGAAGGCCUUCGGGUUGUAAAGCUCUUUUGUUGGGAAAGAAAAGCUGUGGGUUAAUACGCCGCUGUUCUGACGGUACCCAAAGAAUAAGCACCGGCUAACUUCGUG
This 492-nucleotide ribosomal RNA is filed under the name uncultured bacterium. RNAcentral describes it as "partial 16S ribosomal RNA". It matches the Rfam family "Bacterial small subunit ribosomal RNA", at positions 29 to 507 of the family's 1533-position model. The record is from RNAcentral.